GGGGACGUUACGGAUUCGACAGGGGUAGUUCGAGCUUGAGUUGCGAGCCGAGGGGAUCGGCCUCGACAAAACGUCAAAGCCAAUAAUAACUGGCAAAUCUAACAACAACUUCGCUUUAGCUGCUUAAUAACAGUCUAUAGCGGUUCCUCCCUCCAUCGCCCAUGUGGUAGGGUAAGGGACUCACUUUAAGUGGGCUACGCCUGAUUUCGCCGUCUGAGGAUGAAGGAAGAGACUAAUCAGACUAGCUGCCUGGACGCCUGUCGGGAGGCAUAAAGUGCAGCGAACUGGGAAUAUUCCGACUACGCUCGUAGACGCUUAAGUCACGAUAUUUCUGGACGUGGGUUCGACUCCCACCGUCUCCACCA
RNAcentral lists this transfer-messenger RNA (365 nucleotides) under Bacillaceae. Its description in RNAcentral is "Metabacillus_C lacus Standard tmRNA". It matches the Rfam family "transfer-messenger RNA". From Rfam's summary of the family: Bacterial tmRNA, also known as 10Sa RNA or SsrA, is named for its dual tRNA and mRNA-like properties. Its role is to liberate the mRNA from a stalled ribosome. To accomplish this part of the tmRNA is used as a reading frame that ends in a translation stop signal. Lineage: Bacteria; Bacillati; Bacillota; Bacilli; Caryophanales. RNAcentral also lists the same sequence under 1 other name. The record is from RNAcentral.